RNAcentral lists this ribosomal RNA (241 nucleotides) under uncultured Staphylococcus sp. Its description in RNAcentral is "partial 16S ribosomal RNA". It matches the Rfam family "Bacterial small subunit ribosomal RNA", at positions 99 to 334 of the family's 1533-position model. Lineage: Bacteria; Bacillati; Bacillota; Bacilli; Caryophanales; Staphylococcaceae. The record is from RNAcentral.
CGGACGGGUGAGUAACACGUGGAUAACCUACCUAUAAGACUGGGAUAACUUCGGGAAACCGGAGCUAAUACCGGAUAAUAUAUUGAACCGCAUGGUUCAAUAGUGAAAGACGGUUUUGCUGUCACUUAUAGGUGGAUCCGCGCCGCAUUAGCUAGUUGGUAAGGUAACUGCUUACCAAGGCAACGAUGCGUAGCCGACCUGAGAGGGUGAUCGGCCACACUGGAACUGAGACACGGUCCAG